Molecule: RNA transcript, 2631 nt
Organism: Mangifera indica (mango)
Lineage: Eukaryota; Viridiplantae; Streptophyta; Magnoliopsida; Sapindales; Anacardiaceae
Gene name: vacuolar-sorting protein BRO1-like
Exons: 2
Source: RefSeq, a predicted model, not a curated record
GAAAGAAGGGUGGCUUCUGCAGAUGAUGUGUGCCUAACUCUAAAGUUUUCAUUUCUCUGACUAAAAGGGGUACUAGGGCUUUAAUGUGCUGCUUCAAUCCGGCAUGAUUUUAACGGCAAUGAUGCGGUUGUCGAGACAGUUAUUAACGAGGAGAUCAACGGUGAGCUUUGAUGGAGGUAUCGUUUUCAAUUGAUAAUCGGAUGGUUUAGAUUACUUUUGCCAGCUGUAGUUAGUUAUAGUUCAGUGUAUAAAAGAUGUAAUUUGUCACAAUAAUUGUAUGAUUUUUGAGGCUAUUGAAUGAAACUUAAGGUAUUAUUCGUUCUUCUUCUCUCUGUAUUGUCUUGAGUGCUUAUGUUGAUGAUAACAGUUUUGUUUUUAGGGUUCUUGGUGUUUGAUAGUUAAUUAUGCUUUCUCUGUGAUUCUGAUUGCUUAAAGUAGUUUAAUGGAUUCUCGGAGAAGUUCUUUUUGGUAUAUCUGUUGCUGGAGGUGUUGAAUUAGGUCCUCUGGAUUCUUGAGGACCACAUCAAUAUGAUCACGCUUUUGUGGCACGAUGCAUUUAAGACCAAGCAAAGGGCCAGUCAGCAGAACAUUCAUCUGGAGAAGGCGACAGUGUUGUUUAAUUUGGGGGCAGUGUACAGUCAGAUUGGGUUGUCCUUUGAUCACGCCACCAUGGAGGGGCGGCGGGAGGCAUCACGUGCAUUCAUUGUGGCAGCCGGAGCCUUUCCUUAUUUGAGAGAUAAUGCGUCCACAAAGGUGAGUAUGGGGAGCUCCAUGAUGCUGUAUAUCAGCCUCAUGUGCGCCAGAAUGUUGGAGAGAUUGAUGCUGGCCCAAGCUCAAGGGUGUGUGUUUGAGAAUAUGAUUGCUAAAGGGAGUACGCCUGGUGUUUGCACUAAAAUUUCUAGACAAGUUAGUGCUUUUUUUGAAGCUUUGAUUGAUUUAUUAAUUAAUCAAUUUAGUAAAUGUUUUUAUAUAUUGAAUUGUGAUGAAUUGAAAAACUAUUUCACAUAAGUUUAGAUUGUGUAAAUAUAUAGGUUUUACAGUGUUUAACUUUUAGGAUAUUAAAUAUGUAAAGAUUGCAUAUAUAUUUGGAUUUUGUAGUGCAUGAUUUGUGAGGUUUAAGGUUAUGUUAUCUUAUUGAUCUGUUUGUUUUAAUAAUAAAAUUUGAGCAAUAUUAGUAGUGUAAGCUGUGAUUAGUACGGUUAUGAAGGUGACUAGAGUUUUGAUGGUGAGUUUGUUGAUUUAAGGAUGAAAUUUUUUUAGGAAAGGUGAGGGAUAGUGUUGUUGGGUUUUUCCGGUGUGAUUUUGAUGUAAAAGCCAUUUUUUUUAUACUGUCUGUUACUGACAUCUCAGGCGUCAUUCUUGCCGGUAAGUAGUUCUUCUUCCCAAUUUGUUAAUUAUAUGCAAUUCUUACAUAUAUCAUAGUUAUCUGUCUUAAUCUUGAAAAAGUGAUUAAGUUGCUUCAUUGUGGCGUUUUAUCAGCCUGCUGACAUUUAUAAUUGCAGAGCACGUUUUAUAUACAUGGAUCCCGAGUCAAGUCAUGCUGUUGUUGGUUGGGCUGCAAAAACCUUUUCAACAGCAGUGUUUUUCAUAUAUGAGCAGAUCCUCCCAGAUGACGCUUUUGGGCAGCAAAUGAUCAAAUUUUUAUAUUUGUUUGAUGCUGAUGCUUUAUAAAAAUCACAUUUUUUAUUGUUGAUUUCUUAUGUGUACUCUUAUUUUUAUAAUUCUAUUUGAUGCUCCAGAGUGCUGUUGCCUGGGACAUGCUGAAAGUUUAUAUCAAUUUUGUUGAUGCUCAAGAGAGACGCAAGUAUACGUAUUUUGAAAAUUGUUUGCACCAGUAUGAUUCCAGAGGCAUUGAUAUGGAAAAUGAGCUUUAGACAGUAAUAAUUGAUUGUUUUACAAUACUAUUUGCUGUCUAGCUAAAUUUUUUUUCUUUUUUAACUGAUUGUCCAUAAUUGUUAUAAAAACUUUGUCUCUGCAUGUUUUUCCCUGAAAUAUGUGUUGUUUUCUUGUUUAGUUUAUGUGACAAGCAUGAUCAUCGUAGUUUCUUCAAUAAGAUGUUUUCUUAAAUAAUGUCUCUGAGAAACUGAAAACAAUAGACAUCCACGAACAUUUUUUGGUCUAAAUAGAGAACCAUGAGGAAACUCACCUGUCUUUCCCUGUCCUCAGGUGGAAGCCAGGGGUCAGUUGCAGAGCACUUAGGAGGUAGCAGAGAGGGUGCUUUAGGCUGCUUAUCCAAGACAUGUGCUGUUUCAACUUUAGGUUUUGGCUUCUCUUCUAUCUUUUCAGCCAGAGAUGGCUUACAAGCAGCUCUCUCUGGUAUUUUCUCCAAGGGAGCUACACCUUCACCAGAUUUUGAAAUGAUAGCAAUUUUGAAGCCUGGUUCUACAGUUUCUCCUUUGGCAACAAGCUGCAAGAAAUUAAAACGCAGAAGCUAGCAGCAACAUUAAUAAAUCCAAACCACGGGUGUUCGGGCUUGGUUUGAUUCAUAUCUAGCCUUAGUUUUUUAUAAACCCUUAAAACCAAUUAGGACGGGUUUAUAAGUUUUUUAGUAAGAAAUUCAAAAACCUACAGUUGAAAAUAUACCUUUGUUUAGUUUUAACAAGAAUAUAAAUAAUCCAAUUAUUUAGGGUA